UAGUCAUAUGCUUGUCUCAAAGAUUAAGCCAUGCAGGUCUAAGUAUAAGCCGAAAUAAAGUGAAACCGCGAAUGGCUCAUUACAUCAGUUAUGGUUCCUUAGAUCUUCGGUAUCCUACUUGGAUAACCCUGGAAAUUCUAGAGCUAAUACAUGCGUAUGUAGCCCUGACCUUCGGGAACGGGCGUUUUUGUUAGACCAAAACCAAUCAGGGAGCAAUCUCUGGCAAUUUGGUGAGUCUGAACAACCUUGAGCGGAUCGCACGGUCUUGUACUGGCGACAACUCUUUCAAAUGUCUGCCUUAUCAACUUGAUGGUAGGUUAUGUGCCUACCAUGGUGAUAACGGGUAACGGAGAAUCAGGGUUCGAUGCCGGAGAGGGAGCCUGAGAAACGGCUACCACAUCCAAGGAAGGCAGCAGGCACGCAAAUUACCCACUCCCGGCACGGGGAGGUAGUGACGAAAAAUAACAAUACGGGACUCAUCCGAGGCCCCGUAAUUGGAAUGAGUACACUUCAAAUCCUUUAACGAGGAUCCAUUGGAGGGCAAGUCUGGUGCCAGCAGCCGCGGUAAUUCCAGCUCCAAUAGCGUAUAUUAAAGUUGCUGCGGUUAAAAAGCUCGUAGUUGGAUCUCAGUUACGGGCAGGUGGUUCACCUCACGGUGCUACUACCUGGUCCGGACCUAUUGCUGGUGCCCCCUAGGUGCCCUUCAUUGGGUGCCUGGGGAGACCAGAGCGUUUACUUUGAAAAAAUUGGAGUGCUCAAAGCAGGCGAAUGCCUGAACAGUCGUGCAUGGAAUAAUGGAAAAGGGCCUCGGUGCUAUUUUGUUGGUUCUCGGCACUCGAGGUAAUGGUUGAAGGGGACAGACGGGGGCAUUCGUAUUGCGACGUUAGAGGUGAAAUUCUUAGAUCGUCGCAAGACGGACUACUGCGAAAGCAUUUGCCAAGAAUGUUUUCAUUAAUCAAGAACGAAAGUCAGAGGUUCGAAGGCGAUCAGAUACCGCCCUAGUUCUGACCUUAAACGAUGCCAACUGGCGAUCCGUCGGGGGUAAUUCCAUGACCUGACGGGCAGCUUCCGGGAAACCAAAGUUUUUGGGUUCCGGGGGAAGUAUGGUUGCAAAGCUGGAACUUAAAGGAAUUGACGGAAGGGCACCACCAGGAGUGGAGCCUGUGGCUUAAUUUGACUCAACACGGGAAACCUCACCAGGCCCAGACACUAGAAGGAUUGACAGAUUGAGAGCUCUUUCUUGAUUUGGUGGUUGGUGGUGCAUGGCCGUUCUUAGUUGGUGGAGUGAUUUGUCUGGUUAAUUCCGAUAACGAACGAGACUCUGGCCUACUAAAUAGAUGAUGGAUCUUUGAGUCCAUUAUGUCUUCUUAGAGGGACAAGGCAGCUCCAAGCUGCGUGAAAUGGGGCAAUAACAGGUCUGUGAUGCCCUUAGAUGUUCUGGGCCGCACACGCGCUACACUGAAGGAGACAACGUGUUUGUCUGGCUCGAAAGAGUCGGGUAACCCGUUUAAUCUCCUUCGUGCUGGGGAUUGAGGUUUGCAAUUGUCCCUCAUGAACGAGGAAUUCCCAGUAAGUGCAAGUCAUAAGCUUGCGCUGACUACGUCCCUGCCCUUUGUACACACCGCCCGUCGCUACUACCGAUUGAAUGAUUUAGUGAGGACUUCGGACUGAGACCGAUGCGGCUUUCGGGUUGCGUCGGUAUUUUGGAAAGAUGUCCAAACUGUAUCAUUUAGAGGAAGUAAAAGUCGUAACAAGGUUUCC
RNAcentral lists this ribosomal RNA (1761 nucleotides) under Cypretta seurati. RNAcentral describes it as "SSU rRNA". It matches the Rfam family "Eukaryotic small subunit ribosomal RNA". The record is from RNAcentral. Lineage: Eukaryota; Metazoa; Arthropoda; Ostracoda; Podocopida; Cyprididae.